AUGGUGAGCGCCGCGCCGUCGCCGGCAGGCGGGCCGGACCGGACCGGACUCGGUUCUCACUGUGUCCGUCCUGCAGGUGACGGCCGUGCAGCUCAUUGCGGACGGAACGGCUCCCAGAGUCCCCCAGACGGAGGAGGGAGCCAGCUACGAAGGCAUCCAGAAGAAGUCCAACGCCAAGGUAACACCUCGCCCAGCCCGCUGAGGCCAUCCACAACUGGAUCCGCGGCCACGACAAAGUCCCCGGUGCCUGGACCGUCAUCGAUGGACAGCCCGUCACCCUGUACGGCUCGUCCAUGCUGGGGGGGUCCGUCCCCGCCGGCCAGGCCCUGGAGCUGGAAGGGGCCUCUCAGCCCGGCCUGGGUCACCAAGAGCGGCCUGGUCCUGUACGGCGCCGACGGCAAAGAGCUGUGAGUCCGGAGUCCCGUACUACUAAACAAACAUCCGAGAGCGGCGCGCCGGCCGGCGUGACCUGGAGGGUUAUUCAAACAAACACAGCCGGCCCGGCCUGUCCCCGUCCCAGGCCGGCCCCGUCCCAGUCCCCCGCCCAGCCCCGGCAGUUUGUUUAUGUGACCCUGUUCCGACAGCUCCUGGUGAAGAACCUGCAGUUUGA
RNAcentral lists this long non-coding RNA (610 nucleotides) under Salarias fasciatus (jewelled blenny). Its description in RNAcentral is "lncRNA (ENSSFAG00005020948.1)". The record is from RNAcentral. Lineage: Eukaryota; Metazoa; Chordata; Actinopteri; Blenniiformes; Blenniidae.